This 464-nucleotide ribosomal RNA is filed under the name uncultured bacterium. RNAcentral describes it as "bacterial SSU rRNA". It matches the Rfam family "Bacterial small subunit ribosomal RNA", at positions 338 to 795 of the family's 1533-position model. The record is from RNAcentral.
CCUACGGGGUGCAGCAGUGGGGAAUAUUGCACAAUGGGCGCAAGCCUGAUGCAGCCAUGCCGCGUGUAUGAAGAAGGCCUUCGGGUUGUAAAGUACUUUCAGCGGGGAGGAAGGGAGUAAAGUUAAUACCUUUGCUCAUUGACGUUACUCGCAGAAGAAGCACCGGCUAACUCCGUGCCAGCAGCCGCGGUAAUACGGAGGGUGCAAGCGUUAAUCGGAAUUACUGGGCGUAAAGCGCACGAAGGCGGUUUGUUAAGUCGGAUGUGAAAUCCCCGGGCUCAACCUGGGAACUGCAUUCGAAACUGGCAAGCUUGAGUCUUGUAGAGGGGGGUAGAAUUCCAGGUGUAGCGGUGAAAUGCGUAGAGAUCUGGAGGAAUACCGGUGGCGAAGGCGGCCCCCUGGACAAGACUGACGCUCAGGUGCGAAAGCGUGGGGAGCAAACAGGAUUAGAUACCCUUGUAGUC